UUAAUUGAAACCAAAACUUAGAGGUAUACCACUGUUAAUGGUAAAAUUGAAAAAUUUCCAAUUAAA
RNAcentral lists this transfer RNA (66 nucleotides) under Bromius obscurus. RNAcentral's name for it is "tRNA-Asn". Lineage: Eukaryota; Metazoa; Arthropoda; Insecta; Coleoptera; Chrysomelidae. The record is from RNAcentral.